GCCGAAGUGGUGGAACUGGUAGACACGCACGUUUGAGGGGCGUGUGGGCGACCAUGCGGGUUCGAGUCCCGCCUUCGGCACCA
RNAcentral lists this transfer RNA (83 nucleotides) under Nitrospirota bacterium. RNAcentral describes it as "Nitrospirae bacterium tRNA-Leu". It matches the Rfam family "tRNA". Rfam says of the family: Transfer RNA (tRNA) molecules are approximately 80 nucleotides in length. Their secondary structure includes four short double-helical elements and three loops (D, anti-codon, and T loops). RNAcentral also lists the same sequence under 2 other names. Lineage: Bacteria; Pseudomonadati; Nitrospirota. The record is from RNAcentral.